RNAcentral lists this small nuclear RNA (101 nucleotides) under Erinaceus europaeus (western European hedgehog). The record is from RNAcentral. Lineage: Eukaryota; Metazoa; Chordata; Mammalia; Eulipotyphla; Erinaceidae.
GUGCUUGCUUCAGCAGCACAUAUACUAAAAUUGAAACGAUACAGAGUAGAUUAGCAUAUCCCCUGCUCAAAAGACUUGCUUGCAUGAGGCUCCAAGGUCCC